Long non-coding RNA from Alexandromys fortis (reed vole), 2188 nucleotides. RefSeq lists it as uncharacterized. The transcript is spliced from 6 exons. Lineage: Eukaryota; Metazoa; Chordata; Mammalia; Rodentia; Cricetidae. The record is from RefSeq and is a predicted model, not a curated record.
CUUGAAUAAAUUGCUUACCCACAGCGUAAGUCUCUUGCCAAAUGUGAUGAUCAGAGAAGCUGUGCCUGCUGUUUGUCUGGAGCUUUAAGUGAGGUAAAGGCAGCGCAAGACACAAGGAGCAGGUAGGGAGUCCCUGGGCCUUGAACUGAAGCAAAGGUAUUCCGGAUCUCUGAGAAGCCAACGGGGCAAGACUGGCCUCUUGGCCUUAAUCUCUUCUCAACUAGUUAAGCCAUCAGUCUUCAGCUGCCAUUCUAAGGUAAGAUAAAGUCACCCUGGGCUUUGCUGUGUAAUUUCUUGUUGCCAACUAUUGUGGAAUAUUAGUUGAAGAUGUGUGACAUUCGUUUAUUCUGUCAAGUAAGUGUUCAGUGUCGCAAAGAUGUGUUGCAUUCUUUUAUGUUGAAUUUGUUUAACUCUGUGAAGCCGUGUUACUUUGCCUGCCUAAAAUACCUGAUUGGUCUAAUAAAAAACGGAUCAGUCAAUAACUUGGCAGGAGACAGAAAUAGGCAGGGUUGUCAGAUGGAGAGAAUAAAUAGAAGAAGAAAUGAGAAGAGAGAGCAAGAGAAGAGGAGAAGAGGAGGAUCCCAGGGAAAAGCCACCCGGCAACACAACCAGCCAUACAGUAAGGAUGAAAGAAAUAUGCAUAGGAUAGACACAGGUAAAAAGGUAGAUGGGAUAAUCGAAGUUAAGAAAAGUUGGCUAGAAACAAGCCAAACUUUUGUAAGUAAGAAUAAGUCUCCAUGUAUUUAUUUGGGAGCUGGGUGAUGGGCCCCAAAGAGUUAAAAACAAAACAAAACAAAACUACAGACCAAGUCCCCUGAGCAAUUAUUUUAAAAAGGGCCCGAAUAGCGGUGUGAGAUUAUUCACCUUUUGACCACUCACAGAGAAAGACAGGGCGGAGAGUACAUAGCCCAAGCAGUUUGUCCUGUUUAGGGAUUUCUAGUUUUCUGUUCCCAGAUGAAAAGCAGAAGCUGGCUUGGUGUGCCACGCCAUGCUCUUGGCUGUUCAGGGGUCACAUCAUAUGGAAUCUGGAAAUGCCUCGUGUGCAAACUCUUCCUGUUCACGUUGCCGGCAGUGCUUCACCAUUAAACAGACUCGCAUAUUAAAAUGCAGAGCAUGUGAGCCUCUUCGAAUCAAUAGAAAACCAAGAGUCAGUACAUGUCUUAUCAGAUCCAAGAUACGCAAGGCAGAUGGAGAGAUGGAAAUGGUGGGCGAUACACAGGCUCCACGCAUAGCAACAUAAGCAGACACUGCAACUUCAGAAAUGAAAUGCAAAGUGACUAGCCUGGGGACAGGCAUCCUUUCUGUGCCACAAGCUCGAAGCACCAACAGUACAUCUUUUGAAGGAGCUUGGAAGAGACUAGAAGUUGAUGGCUGAGAGAAAAACAAUGGACAUUGUCUCAAGAGAAUAGAGUGCUGGAACUCCACCCAUGAGGAGAGAUGGCAGAUGCGCCAUGAAUGGGAAGCAUGCAACCCAAGCAGGAUUGCAGAAGCUGGUGAGCUCGGAUCACUCCCUGCUCCUACCUUCAGGAGCUCACAAUGAAAAGAUUUUGGACUCUUAUAAAAAUAUCAUGUGUAUGGGUAUGUUUCUGCACAUCGGCAUAUGCGGCACAUGCAUGAAGAAGCCUAUGGAGGCAAGGAGAUGACAUGACAUCUGAUACCCUGGAAUUGGAGGCACAGUGAGCCACUAUGUAAAUGCUGGGAUGAGCCUGGAUCCUCUACAAGAGCAGUAAGCACUGUAAACUCUUGAACUCUCUCCCCAGUUCCAUAUGUUGGGUUUUUUUUUUAAGAAGAUGGGGACUUUAAAGUUAUACUGUGUUUUAUAUUUGAGGUAAACCUGAGACUUUGGGGAAGGGAUGGAUUAUAAUAGGUUAGAAGUGAUGUGCUUAUGUGUUUUGUUGACAAGGGGGAGUCUUCCUGCUUAGCUUUCACUGUGGUCAUAACCUAGAAUUGCUGGCAAUGGCAUCUGAACAAGGAGUUGUAUAUUGGGACGUGUCUAUGGGAGAUCAUCUUGAUUAAAUUAAUUGAGGUGGAAAGAGCUGCCCACUAUAGGUGAUGUCAUUUUGUAGGAAGCAGAUUAUGAAAUCUACAGAGAUAGAGAAGGCAAACCAAUCACAAGCAUUGAAUGCAUUCCUUGCUCUCUGUGCCUGAUCAUGGAUGUGAUGCGAUCUUAUUUUUCACACUUCUGCUA